CCUACGGGUGGCUGCAGUGGGGAAUUUUGGACAAUGGGCGCAAGCCUGAUCCAGCCAUUCCGCGUGAGUGAAGAAGGCCUUCGGGUUGUAAAGCUCUUUCGCAAGGGAAGAAAACUUAUCCUCUAACAUAGGAUGAGGUUGACGGUACCUUGAUAAGAAGCACCGGCUAACUACGUGCCAGCAGCCGCGGUAAUACGUAGGAAGCACGCGUUGAUCGGAGUUACUGGGCGGAAUGCUAAGUCAGACGGUAAAUCCCCGAGCUCAACUUGGGAACUGCGUUUGAAACUACAAGACUAGAAUAGGUCAGAGGGGGGUAGAAUUCCACGUGUAGCAGUGAAAUGCGUAGAGAUGUGGAGGAAUAUCAAUGGCGAAGGCAGCCCCCUGGGAUCAUAUUGACGCUCAUGCACGAAAGCGUGGGGAGCAAACAGGAUUAGAUACCCCAGUAGUC
Molecule: ribosomal RNA, 448 nt
Filed under: uncultured bacterium
Lineage: Bacteria
Description: partial 16S ribosomal RNA
Rfam family: Bacterial small subunit ribosomal RNA
Source: RNAcentral